CCUACGGGUGGCAGCAGUGAGGAAUAUUGGUCAAUGGGCUACGCCUGAACCAGCCAAGUCGCGUGAGGGGAGAAUGCCCUUUGGGUUGUAAACCUCUUUUGUCAGGGGGCAAAGCCGGCUCCGUUUAGCCGGGCUGAGAGUACCUUGAGAAAAAGCAUCGGCUAACUCCGUGCCAGCAGCCGCGGUAAUACGGAGGAUUCGAGCGUUAUCCGGAUUUAUUGGGUUUAAAGGGUGCGUAGGCGGAAUGCCAAGUCAGCGGUAAAAUCGCGGGGCUCAACCUCGCUCCGCCGGUGAAACUGGCGUUCUUGAGUGGGCGAGAAGUAUGCGGAAUGCGUGGUGUAGCGGUGAAAUGCAUAGAUAUCACGCAGAACUCCGAUUGCGAAGGCAGCAUACCGGCGCCCAACUGACGCUGAAGCACGAAAGCGUGGGUAUCGAACAGGAUUAGAUACCCUUGUAGUC
This 459-nucleotide ribosomal RNA is filed under the name uncultured bacterium. RNAcentral describes it as "partial 16S ribosomal RNA". It matches the Rfam family "Bacterial small subunit ribosomal RNA", at positions 338 to 795 of the family's 1533-position model. The record is from RNAcentral.